RNAcentral lists this small nuclear RNA (96 nucleotides) under Fukomys damarensis (Damara mole-rat). Lineage: Eukaryota; Metazoa; Chordata; Mammalia; Rodentia; Bathyergidae. The record is from RNAcentral.
UUCCUGCUCUACUAGGACACGUACUAAAAUUGGAAUGACGCAGCGUGACCCCUGCUCAAGGAUGACAUGCAAGUUUGUGAGGCAUGCUGUAUUUGC